CCAUACCUAAAAGAGUUCAUGCAAACAACCUUACGAGAGCGAUCAAAUUCAAAUCUCGUGCAAUGACUUCAAACAGAAAGACUAUUCCUUCUCCUUCCCCCAUUUUUAAGGACAUAUAGUGUCUUGGAUCAGUUUUUGCACGGUAAGUUUUGUUCUUGUGAUGGUAUUAUGAGAUCGAGGCCGAAACUCGGCCAUACCGAAAAUUUCAACGGUAUUGAUGAUUAGCCCAUAGUAUUUAUAACAACGAGCUGGUCGAGACUUUUAAGGUUGAAAAGUACAAACUUCUUCCAUCAAGUCAACAGACAUAUUAGUGAAGGAAGGAGGGAGAAAGAGUGAGAACACACCUCUGAGAAAGCCUGUCCUUGAAGGUAUGGCGAUACGAGGGGUUCCAUCUUAUGACGAUGGUGAGAAACCAGUAAAAAGCGAACCAGAGCUCGGAGAAGAAAGCUCCAAGCCAAGCCAAUUUCUCAGCUGUUUUGGACUCUGGCAAGUGAAGGAUUCUGAAGUAGAAGAUGAAGCAGAUGCUGAUGAAGAUGGAGAGUGUGUAUAAUCUGAAGAUGAAGCGGUUCUUGGCUGACUUUGUUUCAAAGAGAGGAAGAUUACUCUUCUCUCCCAUUCUUUGGUUCUUCUUUUUUCUUUUCCUCCUUUCUGUAUGGCAAGUGUGUGCAGCAAUUAGGCUAUAUUUAUAUAGAAGGCAGUGUCUAGUUUUUUUUU
Molecule: long non-coding RNA, 714 nt
Organism: Syzygium oleosum
Lineage: Eukaryota; Viridiplantae; Streptophyta; Magnoliopsida; Myrtales; Myrtaceae
Exons: 2
Source: RefSeq, a predicted model, not a curated record